UCCGCCUGCCGCGUCCUCCCGGGCUCGGAGAGGAACUGUUCCUGGAGGAGCCGCGGGACGCCGAAACCAACCAAUGGGAAGAGGCGAGACGCGGAGAUUGGCACUGUGGAUGGGAAGGUCGGAGAGAAGGAGAGCGGCGGGGCCGGGCUGUCAGUCAAAGAAACCUGGCUACAGCAACCUCUCACAUGCUGCAAAGAUGAUUUCACAAUUUUAUUACUGUGGUUUUACUUAAGUGUGGGCUCUUCUCAGUAAGAGGGGACUUGACAGACUUGAAUGUGCAGAGAGCAGUGUGGCC
Suricata suricatta (meerkat) is the source of this 295-nucleotide long non-coding RNA. RefSeq lists it as uncharacterized. The record is from RefSeq and is a predicted model, not a curated record. The transcript has 3 exons. Lineage: Eukaryota; Metazoa; Chordata; Mammalia; Carnivora; Herpestidae.